Molecule: ribosomal RNA, 429 nt
Filed under: bacterium
Lineage: Bacteria
Description: partial 16S ribosomal RNA
Rfam family: Bacterial small subunit ribosomal RNA
Source: RNAcentral
UAGGGAAUCUUCCACAAUGGACGCAAGUCUGAUGGAGCAACGCCGCGUGAGUGAAGAAGGUUUUCGGAUCGUAAAGCUCUGUUGUUGGUGAAGAAGGAUAGAGGUAGUAACUGGCCUUUAUUGGACGGUAAUCAACCAGAAAGUCACGGCUAACUACGUGCCAGCAGCCGCGGUAAUACGUAGGUGGCAAGCGUUGUCCGGAUUUAUUGGGCGUAAAGCGAGCGCAGGCGGAAGAAUAAGUCUGAUGUGAAAGCCCUCGGCUUAACCGAGGAACUGCAUCGGAAACUGUUUUUCUUGAGUGCAGAAGAGGAGAGUGGAAUUCCAUGUGUAGCGGUGGAAUGCGUAGAUAUAUGGAAGAACACCAGUGGCGAAGGCGACUCUCUGGUCUGCAACUGACGCUGAGGCUCGAAAGCAUGGGUAGCGAACAGG